CCAGGACUCCGAGCGCAGUAGUAAAACCCUCGCUUUGGACUGUACUGGCGCGGCCCUGCCGUAAAACCCCCAACUUCUGAAAAUUUGACCUCGGAUCAGGUAGGAAUACCCGCUGAACUUAAGCAUAUCAAUAAAGCGGAGGAA
Molecule: ribosomal RNA, 144 nt
Filed under: Cytospora mali
Lineage: Eukaryota; Fungi; Ascomycota; Sordariomycetes; Diaporthales; Cytosporaceae
Description: partial 28S ribosomal RNA
Rfam family: Eukaryotic large subunit ribosomal RNA (bases 86-144)
Source: RNAcentral